RNAcentral lists this ribosomal RNA (448 nucleotides) under uncultured bacterium. Its description in RNAcentral is "bacterial SSU rRNA". It matches the Rfam family "Bacterial small subunit ribosomal RNA", at positions 329 to 794 of the family's 1533-position model. The record is from RNAcentral.
GACCAGACUCCUACGGGAGGCAGCAGUGGGGAAUAUUGGGCAAUGGGGGAAACCCUGACCCAGCGACGCCGCGUGAGGGAAGAAGGUUUUCGGAUUGUAAACCUCUGUCCUUGGUGACGAUAAUGACGGUAGCCAAGGAGGAAGCCACGGCUAACUACGUGCCAGCAGCCGCGGUAAUACGUAGGUGGCAAGCGUUAUCCGGAUUUACUGGGUGUAAAGGGCGUGUAGGCGGGACUGCAAGUCAGAUGUGAAAACCACGGGCUCAACCUGUGGCCUGCAUUUGAAACUGUAGUUCUUGAGUACUGGAGAGGCAGACGGAAUUCCUAGUGUAGCGGUGAAAUGCGUAGAUAUUAGGAGGAACACCAGUGGCGAAGGCGGGCUGCUGGACAGCAACUGACGCUGAGGCGCGAAAGCGUGGGGAGCAAACAGGAUUAGAUACCCGCGUAUU